UUUAUGGAGAGUUUGAUCCUGGCUCAGAGUGAACGCUGGCGGCGUGCCUAAUACAUGCAAGUCGAACGAUGAAGCUUCUAGCUUGCUAGAGUGCUGAUUAGUGGCGCACGGGUGAGUAACGCAUAGGUCAUGUGCCUCUUAGUUUGGGAUAGCCAUUGGAAACGAUGAUUAAUACCAGAUAUUCCCUACGGGGGAAAGAUUUAUCGCUAAGAGAUCAGCCUAUGUCCUAUCAGCUUGUUGGUAAGGUAAUGGCUUACCAAGGCUAUGACGGGUAUCCGGCCUGAGAGGGUGAACGGACACACUGGAACUGAGACACGGUCCAGACUCCUACGGGAGGCAGCAGUAGGGAAUAUUGCUCAAUGGGGGAAACCCUGAAGCAGCAACGCCGCGUGGAGGAUGAAGGUUUUAGGAUUGUAAACUCCUUUUGUUAGAGAAGAUAAUGACGGUAUCUAACGAAUAAGCACCGGCUAACUCCGUGCCAGCAGCCGCGGUAAUACGGAGGGUGCAAGCGUUACUCGGAAUCACUGGGCGUAAAGAGCGCGUAGGCGGGAUAGUCAGUCAGGUGUGAAAUCCUAUGGCUUAACCAUAGAACUGCAUUUGAAACUACUAUUCUAGAGUGUGGGAGAGGUAGGUGGAAUUCUUGGUGUAGGGGUAAAAUCCGUAGAGAUCAAGAGGAAUACUCAUUGCGAAGGCGACCUGCUGGAACAUUACUGACGCUGAUUGCGCGAAAGCGUGGGGAGCAAACAGGAUUAGAUACCCUGGUAGUCCACGCCCUAAACGAUGGAUGCUAGUUGUUGGAGGGCUUAGUCUCUCCAGUAAUGCAGCUAACGCAUUAAGCAUCCCGCCUGGGGAGUACGGUCGCAAGAUUAAAACUCAAAGGAAUAGACGGGGACCCGCACAAGCGGUGGAGCAUGUGGUUUAAUUCGAAGAUACACGAAGAACCUUACCUAGGCUUGACAUUGAGAGAAUCCGCUAGAAAUAGUGGAGUGUCUAGCUUGCUAGACCUUGAAAACAGGUGCUGCACGGCUGUCGUCAGCUCGUGUCGUGAGAUGUUGGGUUAAGUCCCGCAACGAGCGCAACCCCCUUUCUUAGUUGCUAACAGGUUAUGCUGAGAACUCUAAGGAUACUGCCUCCGUAAGGAGGAGGAAGGUGGGGACGACGUCAAGUCAUCAUGGCCCUUACGCCUAGGGCUACACACGUGCUACAAUGGGGUGCACAAAGAGAAGCAAUACUGCGAAGUGGAGCCAAUCUUCAAAACACCUCUCAGUUCGGAUUGUAGGCUGCAACUCGCCUGCAUGAAGCUGGAAUCGCUAGUAAUCGCAAAUCAGCCAUGUUGCGGUGAAUACGUUCCCGGGUCUUGUACUCACCGCCCGUCACACCAUGGGAGUUGUGUUUGCCUUAAGUCAGGAUGCUAAAUUGGCUACUGCCCACGGCACACACAGCGACUGGGGUGAAGUCGUAACAAGGUAACCGUAGGUGAACCUGCGGUUGGAUCACCUCCUUUCUAGA
RNAcentral lists this ribosomal RNA (1509 nucleotides) under Helicobacter pylori. RNAcentral's name for it is "bacterial SSU rRNA". It matches the Rfam family "Bacterial small subunit ribosomal RNA". The record is from RNAcentral. Lineage: Bacteria; Pseudomonadati; Campylobacterota; Epsilonproteobacteria; Campylobacterales; Helicobacteraceae.